This 384-nucleotide ribosomal RNA is filed under the name Dichotomius sericeus. RNAcentral's name for it is "partial 16S ribosomal RNA". The record is from RNAcentral. Lineage: Eukaryota; Metazoa; Arthropoda; Insecta; Coleoptera; Scarabaeidae.
UUAAGUCUGGCCUGCCCUAUGAGUUAUUAAAUGGCUGCGGUACUCUGACCGUGCAAAGGUAGCAUAGUAAUUAGUUUUUUAAUUGGGAACUGGUAUGAAUGGUUUGACGAGAAAAAUACUGUCUCAAUUUAAUUUAAAUUAGAAUUUUAUUUUUAAGUAAAAAAGCUUAAAUAAUCUUAAAAGACGAGAAGACCCUAUAGAAUUUUAUAUUUUUAAUAAUAUUUGAAAGUUAAAGAAUCAAAGAUUUGAAUAUUUUUAAAAAUAUUUGGUUGGGGCAACUAAAAAAUUAAAUAAACUUUUUUUAUAAUAAAAACAUUGAUAUAUGAAUAAGUGAUCCAUAAAUUAUGAUUAAAAGAUUAAAUUACCUUAGGGAUAAAGCGUAAU